AGUGGGGUGAUGUAGUGGUUAGCACACCUGCCCGAACUGUAGGAGGCCCAGAGUUCAAAUCCUUGCUCCGCCG
RNAcentral lists this transfer RNA (73 nucleotides) under Ixodes scapularis (black-legged tick). It matches the Rfam family "tRNA". From Rfam's summary of the family: Transfer RNA (tRNA) molecules are approximately 80 nucleotides in length. Their secondary structure includes four short double-helical elements and three loops (D, anti-codon, and T loops). The record is from Rfam by way of RNAcentral. Lineage: Eukaryota; Metazoa; Arthropoda; Arachnida; Ixodida; Ixodidae.